GGUAUUUUGACUGUGCAAAGGUAGCAUAAUCAUUAGUUUUUUAAUUGGAAGCUGGUAUGAAAGGUUUGAUGAGAAAUAGGCUGUCUCUUUGUUGUAAUUAGAACUUGAUUUUUGAGUAAAAAAGCUUAAAUUUUAUAUAAAGACGAGAAGACCCUAUAGAGUUUUAUAAAUUUAAUGAGUAUAUAAUAGGUUUUUGGUUUUUUAUUAAAUUUAUUUUGUUGGGGUGAUAUAAAAAUUAAAUUAACUUUUUAUUAUUUUUACACUAGUUAGUGAGUAUUUGAUCCUUAUUUUUGGAUUAUAAGAUUAAAUUACCUAAGG
Molecule: ribosomal RNA, 318 nt
Filed under: Pterotarsus bimaculatus
Lineage: Eukaryota; Metazoa; Arthropoda; Insecta; Coleoptera; Elateridae
Description: partial 16S ribosomal RNA
Source: RNAcentral